UUACAAUGAAGAGUUUGAUCCUGGCUCAGGAUGAACGCUAGCUACAGGCUUAACACAUGCAAGUCGAGGGGCAGCAUGGUCUUAGCUUGCUAAGGCCGAUGGCGACCGGCGCACGGGUGAGUAACACGUAUCCAACCUGCCGUCUACUCUUGG
This 153-nucleotide ribosomal RNA is filed under the name Phocaeicola vulgatus. Its description in RNAcentral is "Bacteroides vulgatus 16S rRNA. Bacterial SSU". It matches the Rfam family "Bacterial small subunit ribosomal RNA", at positions 1 to 142 of the family's 1533-position model. Lineage: Bacteria; Pseudomonadati; Bacteroidota; Bacteroidia; Bacteroidales; Bacteroidaceae. The record is from RNAcentral.